This 313-nucleotide ribosomal RNA is filed under the name uncultured bacterium. Its description in RNAcentral is "bacterial SSU rRNA". It matches the Rfam family "Bacterial small subunit ribosomal RNA", at positions 31 to 348 of the family's 1533-position model. The record is from RNAcentral.
GAACGCUGGCGGCAUGCCUUACACAUGCAAGUCGAACGGCAGCGCGGGGCAACCUGGCGGCGAGUGGCGAACGGGUGAGUAAAAUAUCGGAACGUACCCUGGAGUGGGGGAUAACGUAGCGAAAGUUACGCUAAUACCGCAUACGAUCUAAGGAUGAAAGUGGGGGACCGCAAGGCCUCAUGCUCGUGGAGCGGCCGAUAUCUGAUUAGCUAGUUGGUAGGGUAAAAGCCUAGGAAGGCGACGAUCAGUAGCUGGUCUGAGAGGACGACCAGCCACACUUUCCCUGAGACACGGACCAGACUCUNACGGGAGG